RNAcentral lists this ribosomal RNA (374 nucleotides) under uncultured bacterium. Its description in RNAcentral is "partial 16S ribosomal RNA". It matches the Rfam family "Bacterial small subunit ribosomal RNA", at positions 338 to 729 of the family's 1533-position model. The record is from RNAcentral.
CCUACGGGAGGCAGCAGUGGGGGAUAUUGCACAAUGGGGGGAACCCUGAUGCAGCGACGCCGCGUGGGUGAAGGAGCGUUUCGGCGCGUAAAGCCCUAUCGGCAGGGAAGAAGAUGACGGUACCUGACCACGAAGCCCCGGCUAAAUCCGUGCCAGCAGUCGCGGGAAUACGUAGGGGGCAAGCGUUAUCCGGAUUUACUGGGUGUAAAGGGGGUGCAGACGGCUACGCAAGCCAGGAGGGAAAGGCCUGGGCUCAACCCCGGAACUGCUCUUGAGACUGCAUGGCUGGAUUGCAGGAGGGGCAGGCGGAAUUCCUGGUGUAGCGGUGAAAUGCGUAGAUAUUAGGAGGAACACCGAUGGCGAAGGCGGCCUGC